CAACCACGCAGCAGCGCGGUGCACGCUGGGAUAUACACCCCUCCAUGCAUCCUUUAUGGGGGCGGCCAUUUUGAGGGCGUUGCCGCCAUCUUGAGGGCGUCGCCGCCGUUUUUCCCCACCUCGCCCCGCUUUUCUUCGUUUUGCCCCAAUUUUGUCCCAAUUUUGCCCAAUUUUUCCCCUAAUUGCGCCAGUUUACUCCAGUGUUCCCCGUGCUGCUCCAACUUCUCAUCAUUUUGCUCCAAUUUUUCCCCUUUUUCCACAGUUCAGCCCUAUUUUGUUCUCACUUUGCCCCAUUUCUCCCCCAAUUGCCUCCAAUUUUCCUUAUUUUUCCAAUUUCUCCCGAUUUUUCCCCGUUUUGCCCCAGUUUCCCCCAUUUGCUCUGAAUUUUGCCUCGAUUUUUCCCAAUUUUUCACUAGUUACCCUACAUUUCCCCCUUUUUUCCCCAAUUUACCACAAUUUUGCCCCAAUUCUCUCCCUUUUCCCCCAAUUUCACCCCAUUUUGUCCUGAUUUUCCCCCAUUACUCCCAAUCACCCCAAUUUUUGUCUCUUUUCCCAAUUCUUCCCCAUUUAGCCACAAUUUUUCCCCAUUUUUCCCAGUUUUCCCCCCGUUGCUCCAAUUUUCCCAAUGUUUUUCCCCUCUUUACCCCCAAUUUUUCACCAUUUUUCCCCAAUUCUUCUCCCAUUUUCUCGUUUUGCCCCCAUUUUUCCACAAUUUCCUGGGCCUCGCUGCCAUUUGUGGGCCCUGCCGCCAUUUUGAAGGCACCGCCGCCAUUUUUUUUGCCCUUCCCGCCAUUUUGUGGGCGUGGCCGCCAUUUUCCCCCUUCCCGCCAUUCUGUGGGCGUGGCCGCCAUUUUUGCACCAUUCCCGCCAUUCUGUGGGCGUGGCCGCCAUUUUGAGGGUACCGCCGCCAUUUUUUCACCAUUCCCGCCAGUUUUGAGGGCGCGACCGCCAUUUUUUCCCCAUUCCCGCCAUUUUGUGGGCGCGGCCGCCAUUUUUCCCCCAUUCCCGCCAUUCUGUGGGCGCGGCCGCCAUUUUUUUCCCCAUUCCCGCCAUUUUGUGGGCGCGGCCGCCAUUUUUUUCCCCAUUCCCGCCAUUUUGUGUGCACUGCCGCCAUCCUGA
This 1119-nucleotide long non-coding RNA is filed under the name Phasianus colchicus (ring-necked pheasant). RNAcentral's name for it is "lncRNA (ENSPCLG00000017750.1)". The record is from RNAcentral. Lineage: Eukaryota; Metazoa; Chordata; Aves; Galliformes; Phasianidae.